RNAcentral lists this ribosomal RNA (253 nucleotides) under uncultured bacterium. RNAcentral's name for it is "partial 16S ribosomal RNA". It matches the Rfam family "Bacterial small subunit ribosomal RNA", at positions 524 to 776 of the family's 1533-position model. The record is from RNAcentral.
UACGGAGGGUCCAAGCGUUAUCCGGAAUCAUUGGGUUUAAAGGGUCCGUAGGCGGCUUUGUAAGUCAGUGGUGAAAGCCCAUCGCUCAACGGUGGAACGGCCAUUGAUACUGCAAGACUUGAAUUAUUGGGAAGUAACUAGAAUAUGUAGUGUAGCGGUGAAAUGCUUAGAGAUUACAUGGAAUACCAAUUGCGAAGGCAGGUUACUACUAAUGGAUUGACGCUGAUGGACGAAAGCGUGGGUAGCGAACAGG